Long non-coding RNA from Cyclopterus lumpus (lumpfish), 846 nucleotides. RefSeq lists it as uncharacterized. NCBI's taxonomy places the organism in Eukaryota, Metazoa, Chordata, Actinopteri, Perciformes, Cyclopteridae. The transcript is spliced from 2 exons. The record is from RefSeq and is a predicted model, not a curated record.
GAGAAAGAGUGGAACACAUGACGACAUGACGUACGGGCACGUACAGAGGCACACGAGGACAACGAGAGAGUUCACUGCUGCUUCCUUCAGCUUGCUUCCUGCUCUAUUCACGCAGCACUGCUUUGUCAGUUGAGAGACAAUAAUAAUUUUCUAGUAAAAAUAAUAAUUGUCAAUGGAUAUGACUUUGACGAAGAGAAAAUUGUUAGUUUUUUUUGUUAUUCGAACAACAACACAACGCAGACAACUUUAGCUAACUUUUCGUUUAUUUAUUUUAAUUUUUAAACAUUACACGUUGUUUUUGGUGAAUGUACACCGUAGCAAGGAGCACAGACAUAGUACACGGACAAGUACACGGCUAAAACAAAUGGACGACAUAAAGUAACAUAUAAAUUAUUCUGCAAUCAUUUUAAUUUCUGAUUAAAAUAUCAGAAUAGCUUUGAAUUUUAAAUAUAAUGCUACACACACUAUGACAUAGCGUGUGUUGGAGGGACUCCAUGUGUCUGCUGUUUUCAUAGCAGGCCGGUGGCAAAAUCAGAGGACAUCAUGAAGGUUCACCAGCAACUCCUUCAGCAGGGGCCUUCAGCAGAGCACACCCAGAGCUUCUCUCUGCUCCGCCUGGACCCCGCUGGGAGCCAACUCCCACGCCACGCUGAUGGAGACCCAGGGCGUACUGCUGAACCUGCUGGAGGGAAGGGAGGCACGGAAGAACCAGAACCAGGACUGAUAGGGGCAGACUGUCAGACCCUGCUACAGUAAAAUGAGAGGUUUUCCUUAAUGGACUCUGGUGCUCUGUAUCAAUACUUCUUUGUCCACAGGGACCACAAAAUAAACACAACAUGAACAUUC